RNAcentral lists this ribosomal RNA (443 nucleotides) under uncultured bacterium. Its description in RNAcentral is "partial 16S ribosomal RNA". It matches the Rfam family "Bacterial small subunit ribosomal RNA", at positions 338 to 795 of the family's 1533-position model. The record is from RNAcentral.
CCUACGGGAGGCUGCAGUGGGGGAUAUUGGACAAUGGGGGGAACCCUGAUCCAGCGACGCCGCGUGAGUGAAGAAGUAUUUCGGUAUGUAAAGCUCUGUCAGCAGGGAAGAAAGAAAUGACGGUACCUGACCAAGAAGCCCCGGCGAACUACGUGCCAGCAGCCGCGGGAAUACGUAGGGGGCAAGCGUUAUCCGGAAUUACUGGGUGUAAAGGGAGCGUAGACGGUUAAGUAAGUCUGGAGGGAAAGGCCGGGGCCCAACCCCGGGACUGAUCUGGAAACUAUUGAACUUGAGUGCAGGAGAGGUAAGCGGAAUUCCUAGUGUAGCGGUGAAAUGCGUAGAUAUUAGGAGGAACACCAGUGGCGAAGGCGGCUUACUGGACUGUAACUGACGUUGAGGCUCGAAAGCGUGGGGAGCAAACAGGAUUAGAUACCCUUGUAGUC